CAGUAGAUAGUUUAAAUAAAAUAUUAGUUUUGGGGAUUAAUGAUGAAAUAAUUGUUCUUUACUGA
RNAcentral lists this transfer RNA (65 nucleotides) under Lamprocoris sp. HL-2012. Its description in RNAcentral is "tRNA-Pro". Lineage: Eukaryota; Metazoa; Arthropoda; Insecta; Hemiptera; Scutelleridae. The record is from RNAcentral.